GCCAGGCGUGGUGGCACAUGCCUGUAAUCCCAGCUACUCAGGAGGCUGAGGUGGGAGGAUUGCCUGAGCCCAGGAGUUCUGGGCUGUAGUGCACUAUGCCAAUUGGGUGUCCACACUAAGUUCAGCAUCAGUAUGGUGACCUCCCGGGAGUGGGAGACCACCAGGUUGCCUAAGGAGAGGUGAACUGGCCCAGGUCGGGAACGGAGCAGGUCAAAACUCCCGUGCUGAUCAGUAGUGGGAUCAUGCCUGUGAAUAGCCACUGCAAUCCAGCCUGGGCAACAUAGUGAGACCCUGUCUCU
RNAcentral lists this signal recognition particle RNA (299 nucleotides) under Saimiri boliviensis boliviensis (Bolivian squirrel monkey). Its description in RNAcentral is "Metazoan signal recognition particle RNA (ENSSBOG00000007214.1)". It matches the Rfam family "Metazoan signal recognition particle RNA". Rfam says of the family: The signal recognition particle (SRP) is a universally conserved ribonucleoprotein. It is involved in the co-translational targeting of proteins to membranes. Lineage: Eukaryota; Metazoa; Chordata; Mammalia; Primates; Cebidae. The record is from RNAcentral.